Molecule: long non-coding RNA, 546 nt
Filed under: Salmo salar (Atlantic salmon)
Lineage: Eukaryota; Metazoa; Chordata; Actinopteri; Salmoniformes; Salmonidae
Description: lncRNA (ENSSSAG00000103654.1)
Source: RNAcentral
UGUGUGUGUGUGUGUGUGUGUGUGUGUGUGUGUGUGUGUCACUCUGGCCAAAACCGUUCCAACAUAAGCCCAAUGCGUUUCUAUUGGCUUAUAUUGGACCUUAGCUUGUCGCCUGCCUUCCUGCCUUUGGGACAACGACUCCCAUUGUUCGAGCAGAGACAUGAGCAUCUCGUCAUUACAUAUAGAUCUCUGGCGAAGAGCGUGAGCCAGCGUGUGGGAGAGAGAGAGGAGGAGGAGGAAGGCAGGCCAGCGUGUGAGAGAGAGAGAGGAGGAGGAAGGCAGGCCAGCGUGUGGGAGAGAGAGAGGAGGAGGAAGGCAGGCCAGCGUGUGGGAGAGAGAGAGGAGGAGGAGGAAGGCAGGCCAGCGUGUGAGAGAGAGAGAGGAGGAGGAAGGCAGGCCAGCGUGUGGGAGAGAGAGAGGAGGAGGAGGAAGGCAGGCCAGCGUGUGAGAGAGAGAGAGGAGGAGGAAGGCAGGCCAGCGUGUGGGAGAGAGAGAGGAGGAGGAGGAAGGCAGGCCAGCGUGUGAGAGAGAGAGAGGAGGAGGAAG